This 125-nucleotide non-coding RNA is filed under the name unclassified sequences. The record is from Rfam.
UAUAGCUACAGAUGAGUGGUUCAUACUGUUUACAUCUGGUUGUUGAUAAUAGAUAUUAAGCGUAUGUUAAGUACGCCAAGUCAGAUGGGAGAAUACCGGUUUAACUGGUGUUCUUUUUUUUAUAU